This 468-nucleotide ribosomal RNA is filed under the name uncultured bacterium. RNAcentral's name for it is "partial 16S ribosomal RNA". It matches the Rfam family "Bacterial small subunit ribosomal RNA", at positions 28 to 507 of the family's 1533-position model. The record is from RNAcentral.
GACGAACGCUGGCGGCGUGCUUAACACAUGCAAGUCGAACGGAAAGGCCCUGCUUUUGUGGGGUGCUCGAGUGGCGAACGGGUGAGUAACACGUGAGUAACCUGCCCUUUACUUUGGGAUAACUUCAGGAAACUUGGGCUAAUACCGGAUAGGAGCUCCUGCUGCAUGGUGGGGGUUGGAAAGUUUCGGCGGUUGGGGAUGGACUCGCGGCUUAUCAGCUUGUUGGUGGGGUAGUGGCUUACCAAGGCUUUGACGGGUAGCCGGCCUGAGAGGGUGACCGGCCACAUUGGGACUGAGAUACGGCCCAGACUCCUACGGGAGGCAGCAGUGGGGAAUAUUGCACAAUGGGCGGAAGCCUGAUGCAGCAACGCCGCGUGCGGGAUGACGGACUUCGGGUUGUAAACCGCUUUCGCCUGUGACGAAGAGUGAGUGACGGUAAUGGGUAAAGAAGCACCGGCUAACUACGUG